RNAcentral lists this small RNA (121 nucleotides) under Marmota monax (woodchuck). The record is from RNAcentral. Lineage: Eukaryota; Metazoa; Chordata; Mammalia; Rodentia; Sciuridae.
GCCAGGCAUGGUGGCACAUACCUGUAAUCCCAGUAACUUGGGAGGCCGAGACAGAAGCAUCAUGAGUUCAAAGCCAGCCUCAGCAAAAGCAAGGUGCUAAGCAACUCAGACUCUGUCUCUA